AGAGUUUGAUCCUGGCUCAGGAUGAACGCUAGCGGGAGGCUUAAUACAUGCAAGUCGAGGGAGAAAUUGUUUUUCGGAAUAAUGGACACCGGCGCACGGGUGAGUAACGCGUACACUACCUACCUUAUACUGGGGAAUAGCCUUUGGAAACGAAGAGUAAUACCCCAUAGUCCCGCAAGGGUAAAGCUCCGGCGGUAUAAGAUGGGUGUGCGUUUGAUUAGCUAGUUGGUAAGGUAAUGGCUUACCAAGGCUACGAUCAAUAGGGGGCGUGAGAGCGUGAUCCCCCACACGGGUACUGAGACACGGACCCGACUCCUACGGGAGGCAGCAGUAAGGAAUAUUGGACAAUGGGGGCAACCCUGAUCCAGCCAUCCUGCGUGUAGGAAGACGGCCCUAUGGGUUGUAAACUACUUUUAUAUAGGAAGAAAAUGUUGAUUUUAAUUGACACUGACGGUACUAUAUGAAUAAGCACCGGCUAACUCCGUGCCAGCAGCCGCGGUAAUACGGAGGGUGCAAGCGUUAUCCGGAAUUACUGGGUUUAAAGGAUGCGUAGGCGGGCUAAUAAGUCAGAAGUGAAAGCUCACGGCUCAACUGUGGAAUUGCUUUUGAUACUGUUAGUCUUGAAUUAGGUUGAGGUUGGCGGAAUGAGUCAUGUAGCGGUGAAAUGCAUAGAUAUGACUUAGAACACCAAUUGCGAAGGCAGCUGACUAGACCUUAAUUGACGCUGAGGCAUGAAAGCGUGGGGAGCGAACAGGAUUAGAUACCCUGGUAGUCCACGCCCUAAACGAUGCUUACUCGACGUGUGAACAUUAGUUUGCGCGUCCAAGGGAAACCAUUAAGUAAGCCACCU
RNAcentral lists this ribosomal RNA (850 nucleotides) under marine sediment metagenome. RNAcentral describes it as "bacterial SSU rRNA". It matches the Rfam family "Bacterial small subunit ribosomal RNA", at positions 9 to 873 of the family's 1533-position model. The record is from RNAcentral.